AUGGAAGUUUAAAAACCUGCCCCUGAAUGACUUUUGGGUAAAAAAUGAAAUUUAUGCAAAAAUCAAGAAAUUCUGUAAAAAUAAUGAGAACGAAGACGCAAUACAGAAUCUCUGGGACACAAUUGAAGCAAUGUGUAGAAGGAAAUUUACAGCAUUAAAUGCCCACAACAGAAAUGAGGAAAGAUCUAAAAUCUACACCCUAACAUCACAAUUAAAAGAAUUAGAGGA
Long non-coding RNA from Sapajus apella (tufted capuchin), 228 nucleotides. RefSeq lists it as uncharacterized. The record is from RefSeq and is a predicted model, not a curated record. NCBI's taxonomy places the organism in Eukaryota, Metazoa, Chordata, Mammalia, Primates, Cebidae. The transcript has 3 exons.